Molecule: RNA transcript, 2637 nt
Organism: Cynoglossus semilaevis (tongue sole)
Lineage: Eukaryota; Metazoa; Chordata; Actinopteri; Pleuronectiformes; Cynoglossidae
Gene: matn3a
Gene name: matrilin 3a
Exons: 6
Source: RefSeq, a predicted model, not a curated record
GAAAAAAACGUCAUAUAUUGUUUUUUGUUGAGCUUGAUUGCAAGCUAUUUCUGAUUAAUAUUUGCAAAUAUAUUUCUUGGUUUUUCUAAUUUCUCUAUAAUCUUCCUAAAUUGAGUUUUAUAUUUUUAAUAACAACUCGUGACGUUUUGCUGAUCUGUUUUAAUUGGUUGCGUUUCAUUGGUAAAUAUUGCGGUGCCAGAUCUGCAGCUUGUUCUUUGCCAACUUUUCACUAUGCACACGUAAUGCUAACGGUUGAAAUGUAUCCAAAAUUACCCUGUUUUGGAUAAUUAUAUAUAUAUAUAUGUAAUAAUGAACUCUGCCAACCGAAUGAAUACGUUGCGUGUUUGUGUGACAGGUAUGACCGUUUCGUCCUCUUAUUUACAGCCUGUAGGUCGUGACCCACGUUUGGAUUGGACACCGAUAUUUGACGUGUGAAGUCGGAGGACUCCUCAUAUACGGAGCAGCGGAGUGUCCCGAACAGACAGACGGAUACACAGAGGAAAAGAGAAGCAGGAAGGAUGUCGUCUACACCCAGCUGUCUCUGUUUCUGCGCCCCGCUGAUGCUGCUGCUGCUGAUGCUGCUGAUGCUGAAUGAUGUGCUGGCCACAUACCACCUCAGUGCCGUAAACCCGGAGCUCAUCACCGCACAGAGUCUGGCUCAGAGCAGGAAUAAUGGUCGAGCUCCGAUCAGGACCCUCAAUCCUGCAAUUCACAGAGGUGAUUACACGUAUAGAGGAGGGUAUCACUACCACUUCCAGCCACCAAGGAUCCCUCCACCGGUAGUGUAUCAUCCUGUUCAUCCUCUCUCUCCUCCAGUGACAUACCACAGACCCUCAGUCCGUAUGCCACCAUAUCAGCACAGGUUCAAGGGCCCGGUGGCUCCACAAAUGCACCAUCACAUGUACAAAGGUUUAUCUCCACCUGUAGCUAACCAUCCACACCAGUGGGUCAAAGGACCGUUUCCUUCCAAAACAAAAGGUCCGUGUCCAACCGUACCGACACCACCCACGACACCUGUGGUGCCACGUUCUACUGCCCCGCCCGCUCUACCAGAGGCAACAGUGCUGCCAACUCUGCCAGCAACUACAGUGGCACCACCAACAACCAUCACUCCGAUGGUGGUGGUGACCACGGGGGCGCCAGUGGAGACCACAGCUGCUGUGACGCUACCGGUCAGUACCCAAAGUGGCCUCAUCACCACCGUCAGUCCAGAGACAGACUCUCAGUGCAGGAGCCGACCUCUGGACCUGGUCUUCAUCAUAGACAGCUCCCGCAGCGUGCGUCCCGGUGAGUUUGAGAAAGUCAAGAUCUUCCUGGCCGACAUGGUCGAUACUUUAGACGUGGGCUCAGACGCCACCAGGGUGGCGGUGGUCAACUACGCCAGCACCGUCAAGAUCGAGUUCUUGCUCAAAGAUCACUUCAACAAGCCCGACAUGAAGAAAGCCGUCUCCCGCAUCGAGCCUUUGGCUGCUGGAACCAUGACCGGCCUCGCCAUCAAGACCGCGAUGAACGAGGCCUUCACAGAACAGUCGGGAGCCCGUCCUCGCUCCAGAAGCAUCUCCAAGGUGGCCAUCAUCGUGACGGACGGGAGACCACAAGACCAGGUGGAGGAAGUGUCUGCUGCCGCCCGAGCUUCUGGCAUCGAGAUCUACGCGGUUGGAGUGGACCGUGCAGACAUACGGUCCCUGGAGCUGAUGGCCAGCGUCCCACUGGAGGACCACGUCUUCUACGUGGAGACAUAUGGCGUCAUUGAGAAGCUUACCUCCAAGUUCAGGGAGACCCUGUGCGGUCUGGACCCCUGUGCCGUGGGACAUGACUGCGAACAUAUUUGUAUCAACAGCAACGCCUCCUUUUACUGCAAGUGCCGGAAUGGUUACAUCCUGAACACAGACCAGAAAACAUGCUCCCUGAAACAGGUGAAGGCGGAGGUGGUGAUGGAUCCCUGUAAAUGUGAGGCCAGACUGGCCUUCCAGAAGCAGGCGCAGGCGGCCAUUCAGCAGCUGACAGCCAAGCAUAUCCUCUCUGUUGUUUCAGAUGGAGUACGUUCCCCUUUUCACAGUUUGACACUGUGUCUGUGUGUGUUUUCAUAAGACUAACGUGACCUCUGUCUCCUCACCUCACAUCCAUCCUUCCCUGGUCUCUGUGCAUGUGUUUGUGAAUGAGUUUCCUUGACUGACGGUCACUAGCUGACGUGUCUGGCAGAAUAGAGCGUCUUGAGAACGUGUUGGGCAGUGUUUAGAUCUGGACUCAAUGGGAGCAGAAUUGUUUCCUGUCGUAAGCAGGAGCCACGGACAACUGCACGGCAGACAUCUGCUUCCUGGAGCUGCUGCGAGGAUUUGAACCCACACACUGAGUGAGACUGUGACUCCAGAACCAGAAUUCCUCUUGUUUCUGACUGCAGGAGCACCGUCAAUGAAUGAUAAUUGAAAUCUGUGCUCAAAGCAGUUUAUUUUUAAUUUCAUUUUUUACCAUCGAACAUGCUGUAAUGCUGAGUUAUUAUUUGUUUUUAUAAUUGUUUCUGUUCAUAUUGUACAUAGAUGAUUUAAAUAGAAAAUCUCAUGUUUAGUUAUAAUUCUGACUUCUGAUAUCUGACUUCAAUUUUUACAAUCUGAAUGAAAGUCAGAAGUAAAAAAAUGA